GCUUCAAGUAGUUUCUUACUUUGCACUAUUUUUAGGGGCUGGACUAAUGUCCCUUCUUGCAAUAUGGGCAUGAAUGUUAUUGCAUUUAAUAUAUGCAUGUAAUUUUUUUUGUUUUGGUAUCUUAUUAUUAUCCAUAAAAUCAGCCAAGCAAGCAAGCAAUUAUUUACAAAAAAAAAUUCUUGUCACUUUACUUCUCCUUGAAGGGUGUUUAUGUAACAAGUAUGGCAACCUUGUAGAGUAGGGUUUGAAGAUGGAGUUGCAAACAGAAAAGAGAAAAGAAGAGAAAUGUUUCAUU
Molecule: unclassified non-coding RNA, 295 nt
Filed under: Hevea brasiliensis (rubber tree)
Lineage: Eukaryota; Viridiplantae; Streptophyta; Magnoliopsida; Malpighiales; Euphorbiaceae
Source: RNAcentral